Small nucleolar RNA from Fundulus heteroclitus (mummichog), 139 nucleotides. Lineage: Eukaryota; Metazoa; Chordata; Actinopteri; Cyprinodontiformes; Fundulidae. The record is from Ensembl.
GCAUGGCCGAAUUCUGUGUUACUUUGCAUGUAGUAAAUACAGUCAGACACCAUGCUACAUUAAUGUUUUCACCGACUGACUCUGCAAGAUCAGAGUGCUGCUUAUAUGCCUCGUUCUUAUGUCAGUGACAACGACACGU